Helianthus annuus (common sunflower) is the source of this 1395-nucleotide long non-coding RNA. RefSeq lists it as uncharacterized. NCBI's taxonomy places the organism in Eukaryota, Viridiplantae, Streptophyta, Magnoliopsida, Asterales, Asteraceae. The record is from RefSeq and is a predicted model, not a curated record. The transcript is spliced from 2 exons.
AAAUAGUUGAUUGCUGCUCGCAAAUCUUAUAUUUAUUUGAUAAGAAAUUUGAAUUCGUGCGCUGGCGUUUCAUGAUUCAUUUAUCAUUUUAUUGUGAUUUGAUGCAAAAAGAGUACCUCAUGCUUAGUUUUUAAUGCAAUUAUACAAAUUUUAUCUAUACUUAUACACUUCUAAUUCAGAUCUAAAGAAAAGAAGGGGCAAUUUCUGUACCUUAAGUUACAGAUCUGUUAGGCAUUUCUUUGUUGGUAUUGAUUCAGUUUUAGAGGGAUGUUGGUCUCUUUCAUCUGUGCUUUUUUAUAUCAUUUUUUUUCAUGUUGGUAAAUAAACAUAAUAAAUAAAUAUUGCAAUUUCACUUAUUUGUGUUUUAUGAAAAAUACAUGGUUAAAGAGCAAGAAGUGGAAUUGAAACCAACAAUGAUAACAUAUCAUUGAGUUGGGCCCCAAACUUGAAAGUUGAAACUGUCGAUGGUGGCGUCGGCCGGUCACAACAGUGUUCGAAAUUGAACUGAAUAUGAUGCUGCUAAUUACUGCACUGCCAUGAUCUGUAUGCUUUGUUUUGAGUCGGUUGAAACUGUUGGGUUUGGAAUAGUAUAGCUUUCUUUCACGCCAUUGUUGCUACUACUUUGUGUUGUACUAUGGCUACCAUUUCAUGUUAUUAGAGCUGAACUGCUGAUUUCAUAGGAUAUGUCAAAACGCGUCAGUUCUAUGUGCUAAAUUUAUAGCCUUAUGAUAAACUUACAAUAAAGGAGCAGCCUUUAUGAUAAAUUUCUUAUGUUAUACAGGAGAUUAAAGCAAAGGAGAUUAUGGCUGAAAUAAGGGAUAUUUUAGAGAAAGAGAAGGAUACCAACAUCGUUUACCUAGAGCAAGCGAAACCAUAAGUGGCUAAGAAUGAACCGUAGAACUUGCUGCAGAUGGCUAGAUGUUGGAAAAAACUGUCUGUGCAGUUUCAGCAAAGGACAGAAAAUGCUUUGCUCAUUAGUUCCAAGUUGCUCCACGUGAAUCGAUUAUUAGCAAGGCUACCUGCAUCACAGAUGGCUAACAUUCGACCGUGUUUUGAUAAUGUGUUUGUUGAGGUUGCCAUUGCCUUCAAUAAAAUAGCUAAUGGCAUAAAGAUCCAAAGUGUUGAGAAUCAAAGUCACCUCAUGAGCUUACUACCACAUUGAACCCGCCAUCUUAACAAUUUGGAAUGGUUAUACUAGCAGUGUUGCAGCUAAGAGUUUUUUUGACUGCUGAACGAGUUGAAAGCUCAUGGCUGGUUUAUUUUUGGACAUCCAAUUUUGUGACUAUUUUCGUCUUAUUUUUUCGAAUUUCUAGCACUUGUUAACUCAACUAUUCAAGAUGUGGUUUUUCUGCUGCCAUUUUUAUGAUCAAUUGACUUGGAUACUAUUUAAAGAUA